CUUAAAGUCAUCAUAGUUCAGAAACUUUGUCACCUUCUGAAGGAAACCACAAAGUGCAUGAGAGGUUGGGGGCGUGAGGCUUGAAAGUCUAUGCGUCUCUCUACUCUCCACAUCCCAUUUUGUGGCUGGUGCUCCUCUGGUGUGCUGUUAUGAACUCAAACGAUGCAGUUAAGACAAAACACGUUGUUGUUGGUACUGCAGUGGUGUGUACUUGUCUGCAGUGACCGGCUGCAGGAUGGAGACAUACAAGAGCAUCGCCUGCCCUGUGUCUCCAAUGAAACUACUGUUACAUGCAGCUUGUCUGAAGAGGCCCUAAAAGGGUUUCAGACAGUAAGGCUGGAGGUCCUGGUAGGACAGGUCGCUGAAAUUCACUUUACACCUUUGGGAAACAGUUCUGGAAAUUCUACUCCAUGCUUCUGGGCACAAAGGGAAACUGUGAGUAUGCUUCCAUUCCAGCACUUUACAAGAGACAUGGGUGGAGUGUACCCUGCUGUGUGUAGCAGUGGUAGUUCCAACCACUCUGUGAACAUCUCAGUCCACAUAAUCUCACCAAACAGUGAGUUAAACAAGACCUUCUUUACACAUAAAACUUAAAAUCACAUCUCAGAUCAGACCAGUAAAGUAAAAGUUAAUUUGAUCAUGUGUUAAAAUCUUAAAUAUCUAAUGUUACAUUUUCUUCAUUUUUAGAGGGUCCAACGAUUCCACGGAUACAAAUUAUUGAGAAACAAUUUCACACAGUUGACUUUAAAUGUGUUUCAAAGGGAAAUCCAAAACCAACAAUUAAAUGGUAUUCAGGAGACAAAUAUAUCAAGUAAGUUUUAAACACAGCCUCCAAUUUGAUGAAAUAUAAAGUUAUAGCAUGGAUCUGUGGAUA
Molecule: long non-coding RNA, 874 nt
Filed under: Astyanax mexicanus (Mexican tetra)
Lineage: Eukaryota; Metazoa; Chordata; Actinopteri; Characiformes; Acestrorhamphidae
Description: lncRNA (ENSAMXG00005015842.1)
Source: RNAcentral